UGCAAGUCGAACGAUGAAGAAAAGAAUUGAAGCUUCGGCAGAAAUUCAUUUCGGAUUAGUGGCAGACGGGUGAGUAACGCGUGAGCAACCUACCUCUUACAAAGGGAUAGCCUCGGGAAACCGGGAUUAAUACCAUAUAACAUUGCGACGAAGCAUUUCGAUGCAAUCAAAGCUACGGCGGUAAGAGAUGGGCUCGCGUCCCAUUAACCAGAUGGUGAGGUAACGGCUCACCAUAGUAACGAUGGGUAACCGGCCUGAGAGGGUGAACGGUCACACUGGAACUGAGACACGGUCCAGACUCCUACGGGAGGCAGCAGUGGGGAAUAUUGCACAAUGGAGGGAACUCUGAUGCAGCGACGCCGCGUGAGUGAUGAAGGAAUUCGUUUCGUAAAACUCUGUUCUAUGGGAAGAAAAGGACUGUACCAUAGGAGAAAGCUCCGGCUAAAUACGUGCCAGCAGCCGCGGUAAUACGUAUGGAGCGAGCGUUGUCCGGAAUUAUUGGGCGUAAAGGGUGCGCAGGCGGCUUUACAAGUUGGAUGUGAAAUAUUGUGGCUCAACCACAAACGUGCAUCCAAAACUGCAAAGCUUGAGUUAAGGAGAGGUAAGUGGAAUUCCUGGUGUAGCGGUGGAAUGCGUAGAUAUCAGGAGGAAUACCGGUGGCGAAGGCGACUUACUGGACUUAAACUGACGCUCAGGCACGAAAGCGUGGGGAGCAAACAGGAUUAGAUACCCUGGUAGUCCACGCCGUAAACGAUGAGUGCUAGGUGUUGGGGGUCAAACCUCGGUGCCGCAAGCAAACGCAAUAAGCACUCCGCCUGGGGAGUACGUGCACAAGCAUGAAACUCAAAGGAAUUGACGGGGACCCGCACAAGC
RNAcentral lists this ribosomal RNA (873 nucleotides) under uncultured bacterium. Its description in RNAcentral is "bacterial SSU rRNA". It matches the Rfam family "Bacterial small subunit ribosomal RNA", at positions 56 to 930 of the family's 1533-position model. The record is from RNAcentral.